Molecule: ribosomal RNA, 465 nt
Filed under: uncultured Klebsiella sp.
Lineage: Bacteria; Pseudomonadati; Pseudomonadota; Gammaproteobacteria; Enterobacterales; Enterobacteriaceae
Description: bacterial SSU rRNA
Rfam family: Bacterial small subunit ribosomal RNA
Source: RNAcentral
CCUACGGGCGGCUGCAGUGGGGAAUAUUGCACAAUGGGCGCAAGCCUGAUGCAGCCAUGCCGCGUGUGUGAAGAAGGCCUUCGGGUUGUAAAGCACUUUCAGCGGGGAGGAAGGCGUUAAGGUUAAUAACCUUGGCGAUUGACGUUACCCGCAGAAGAAGCACCGGCUAACUCCGUGCCAGCAGCCGCGGUAAUACGGAGGGUGCAAGCGUUAAUCGGAAUUACUGGGCGUAAAGCGCACGCAGGCGGUCUGUCAAGUCGGAUGUGAAAUCCCCGGGCUCAACCUGGGAACUGCAUUCGAAACUGGCAGGCUAGAGUCUUGUAGAGGGGGGUAGAAUUCCAGGUGUAGCGGUGAAAUGCGUAGAGAUCUGGAGGAAUACCGGUGGCGAAGGCGGCCCCCUGGACAAAGACUGACGCUCAGGUGCGAAAGCGUGGGGAGCAAACGGGAUUAGAUACCCCAGUAGUC